This 253-nucleotide ribosomal RNA is filed under the name uncultured bacterium. RNAcentral's name for it is "partial 16S ribosomal RNA". It matches the Rfam family "Bacterial small subunit ribosomal RNA", at positions 524 to 776 of the family's 1533-position model. The record is from RNAcentral.
UACGUAGGGUGCGAGCGUUGUCCGGAAUUAUUGGGCGUAAAGAGCUCGUAGGCGGUUUGUCGCGUCGACUGUGAAAACCUGGGGCUUAACUCUGGGCCUGCAGUCGAUACGGGCAGACUUGAGUUCGGUAGGGGAGACUGGAAUUCCUGGUGUAGCGGUGAAAUGCGCAGAUAUCAGGAGGAACACCAAUGGCGAAGGCAGCUCGCUGGAACGGUACUGACGCUGAGGCGCGAAAGCGUGGGGAGCAAACAGG